This 422-nucleotide ribosomal RNA is filed under the name uncultured cyanobacterium. RNAcentral's name for it is "bacterial SSU rRNA". It matches the Rfam family "Bacterial small subunit ribosomal RNA", at positions 358 to 795 of the family's 1533-position model. Lineage: Bacteria; Bacillati; Cyanobacteriota. The record is from RNAcentral.
GGAAUUUUCCGCAAUGGGCGAAAGCCUGACGGAGCAACGCCGCGUGAGGGAUGAAGGCCUCUGGGCUGUAAACCUCUUUUCUCAAGGAAGAAGAUCUGACGGUACUUGAGGAAUAAGCCACGGCUAAUUCCGUGCCAGCAGCCGCGGUAAUACGGGAGUGGCAAGCGUUAUCCGGAAUUAUUGGGCGUAAAGCGUCCGCAGGCGGCCUUGUAAGUCUGUCGUUAAAGCGUGGAGCUUAACUCCAUUUCAGCGAUGGAAACUACAAGGCUUGAGUGUGGUAGGGGCAGAGGGAAUUCCCGGUGUAGCGGUGAAAUGCGUAGAUAUCGGGAAGAACACCAGUGGCGAAGGCGCUCUGCUGGGCCAUAACUGACGCUCAUGGACGAAAGCCAGGGGAGCGAAAGGGAUUAGAUACCCCUGUAGUC